UUGUUGGUAAGGUAAAAGCUUACCAAGGCUUCGAUCAGUAGCUGGUCUGAGAGGACGACCAGCCACACUGGGACUGAGACACGGCCCAGACUCCUACGGGAGGCAGCAGUGGGGAAUUUUGGACAAUGGGGGCAACCCUGAUCCAGCCAUGCCGCGUGAGUGAAGAAGGCCUUCGGGUUGUAAAGCUCUUUCAGCCGGAACGAAACGGUUACGGAUAACACCCGUGACUACUGACGGUACCGGAAGAAGAAGCACCGGCUAACUACGUGCCAGCAGCCGCGGUAAUACGUAGGGUGCGAGCGUUAAUCGGAAUUACUGGGCGUAAAGCGUGCGCAGGUGGUUUUGUAAGUCAGAUGUGAAAGCCCCGGGCUCAACCUGGGAACUGCGUUUGAAACUACAAGACUAGAGUGUGGCAGAGGGGGGUGGAAUUCCGCGUGUAGCAGUGAAAUGCGUAGAGAUGUGGAGGAACACCGAUGGCGAAGGCAGCCCCCUGGGUCAACACUGACGCUCAGGCACGAAAGCAUGGGGAGCAAACAGGAUUAGAUACCCUGGUAGUCCAUGCCCUAAACGAUGUCAACUAGUUGUCGGGCCUUUACGGGCUUGGUAACGUAGCUAACGCGUGAAGUUGACCGCCUGGGGAGUACGAUCGCAAGAUUAAAACUCAAAUGAAUUGACGGGGACCCGCACAAGCGGUGGAUUAUGUGGAUUAAUUCGAUGCAACGCGAAAAACCUUACCUACCCUUGACAUGUAUCGAAGCCCGCAGAAAAGCGGGGGUGCCCGAAGGGGAACGAUAACACAGGUGCUGCAUGGCUGUCGUCAGCUCGUGUCGUGAGAUGUUGGGUUAAGUCCCGCAACGAGCGCAACCCUUGUCAUUAAUUGCCAUCAUUUAGUUGGGCACUUUAAUGAGACUGCCGG
Molecule: ribosomal RNA, 916 nt
Filed under: uncultured bacterium
Lineage: Bacteria
Description: bacterial SSU rRNA
Rfam family: Bacterial small subunit ribosomal RNA
Source: RNAcentral